GGAAAUAUCAGAGUGAGAGUACGUGUCCUUGUGAGCAUCGGAAGCCUGUGUGUGACUCAAAUGAGGCGGAUUAUAUACAGCUGCUGCUCCCUGGGGAUGCGGAUUUUGUUGGAGGAUCAGGUGAAGCACUGACAGCGCUCAUCGCCGCCGCGGCUGCGACACCCACGCCACUGCGAUCAAUCCCAAUUAAAACUUCAGGUCGACUGGAAAUGGAAAGAGUCGGAAGCCAAACGAGUACGGCGGGAUUUGCUUUCCUCAGCGGCCUUUGGAGGAAAAACACCGGCUGUGUCUUUUUUAAAUUAUUUUUUGGAUGUUGUUGUUUUCAUUUAUUUUCUCGCCGCGCGGUAAUUGAAAUUAAUAUUAUGUGUUUGCAUUAGACGGAGCGGGCGUGUGUCUGUGUGUUGUGAUUGAGAGGGUCAAAUAACAUGUGUGCAC
Long non-coding RNA from Gasterosteus aculeatus aculeatus (three-spined stickleback), 435 nucleotides. The record is from Ensembl. NCBI's taxonomy places the organism in Eukaryota, Metazoa, Chordata, Actinopteri, Perciformes, Gasterosteidae.